This 431-nucleotide ribosomal RNA is filed under the name uncultured bacterium. Its description in RNAcentral is "bacterial SSU rRNA". It matches the Rfam family "Bacterial small subunit ribosomal RNA", at positions 97 to 524 of the family's 1533-position model. The record is from RNAcentral.
GGCGGACGGGUGAGUAAAGUAUCGGAACGUGCCCAGUCGUGGGGGAUAACGUAGCGAAAGUUACGCUAAUACCGCAUACGAUCUAUGGAUGAAAGCGGGGGAUCGCAAGACCUCGCGCGAUUGGAGCGGCCGAUAUCAGAUUAGGUAGUUGGUGGGGUAAAGGCUCACCAAGCCGACGAUCUGUAGCUGGUCUGAGAGGACGACCAGCCACACUGGGACUGAGACACGGCCCAGACUCCUACGGGAGGCAGCAGUGGGGAAUUUUGGACAAUGGGCGCAAGCCUGAUCCAGCCAUGCCGCGUGCAGGAUGAAGGCCUUCGGGUUGUAAACUGCUUUUGUACGGAACGAAAAGGUUUGGCCUAAUACGCUGAACUCAUGACGGUACCGUAAGAAUAAGCACCGGCUAACUACGUGCCAGCAGCCGCGGUAAU